GAUGAACGCUGGCGGCGUGCUUAACACAUGCAAGUCGAACGGGAAUUCUUUUAUUUAAACUUCGGUCGAUUUAAUUUAAUUCUAGUUGCGGACGGUUGAGUAACUCGUGGUUAACCUGCCUUAUACAGGGGGAUAACAUUCAGAAAUGGCUGCUAAUACCGCAUAAGCGCACAGAGCUGCAUGGCUCAGUGUGAAAAACUCCGGUGGUAUAAGAUGGACCCGAGUUGGAUUAUCUGGUUGUUGGGGUAACGGCCCACCAAGGCGACGAUCCAUAGCCGGCAGGAGAGGGUGAACGGACACAAUGGGACUGAGACACGGCCGAGAAUACUACGGGAGGGAGGAGAGGGGAAUAGAGCACAAUGGGGGAAAAGCUGAUGAAGCGACGCCGCGUGAAGGAAGAAGUAACUCGGUAAGAAAAGUUCAAGCAGAAGGGAAGAUAGUGACGGUACCUGACUAAGAAGCACCGGCUAACUACGUG
Molecule: ribosomal RNA, 478 nt
Filed under: uncultured bacterium
Lineage: Bacteria
Description: partial 16S ribosomal RNA
Rfam family: Bacterial small subunit ribosomal RNA
Source: RNAcentral